RNAcentral lists this ribosomal RNA (253 nucleotides) under uncultured bacterium. Its description in RNAcentral is "partial 16S ribosomal RNA". It matches the Rfam family "Bacterial small subunit ribosomal RNA", at positions 524 to 776 of the family's 1533-position model. The record is from RNAcentral.
UACAGAGGGUGCAAGCGUUAAUCGGAAUUACUGGGCGUAAAGCGCACGUAGGUGGCUUGAUAAGUUGGGUGUGAAAUCCCCGGGCUUAACCUGGGAAUUGCAUUCAAGACUGUCUUGCUAGAGUGUGGAAGAGGGAAGCGGAAUUCCUGGUGUAGCGGUGAAAUGCGCAGAUAUCAGGAGGAACACCGGUGGCGAAGGCGGAUCUCUGGGCCGUAACUGACGCUGAGGAGCGAAAGCAUGGGGAGCGAACAGG